AUUGAACGCUGGCGGCAGGCUUAACACAUGCAAGUCGAACGAUGAAGAUAUAGCUUGCUAUAUCGGAUUAGUGGCGGACGGGUGAGUAACACUUAGGAAUCUACCUUUUAGCGGGGGAUAGCUCGGGGAAACUCGAAUUAAUACCGCAUAAUUUCUACGGAAUAAAGAGGGCUUUUAGCUCUCACUAGAAGAUGAGCCUAAGUAAGAUUAGCUAGUUGGUGGGGUAAAAGCCUACCAAGGCGACGAUCCUUAGCUGGUCUGAGAGGAUGAUCAGCCACACUGGGACUGAGACACGGCCCAGACUCCUACGGGAGGCAGCAGUGGGGAAUAUUGGACAAUGGGGGCAACCCUGAUCCAGCCAUGCCGCGUGUGUGAAGAAGGCCUUUUGGUUGUAAAGCACUUUAAGCAGUGAAGAAGACCUAUUGGUUAAUACCCAAUAGCGAUGACAUUAACUGCAGAAUAAGCACCGGCUAACUCUGUGCCAGCAGCCGCGGUAAUACAGAGGGUGCAAGCGUUAAUCGGAAUUACUGGGCGUAAAGCGAGCGUAGGUGGUUAAAUAAGUCAGAUGUGAAAGCCCUGGGCUCAACCUAGGAACGGCAUCUGAAACUAUUUAACUAGAGUAGGUGAGAGGGAAGUAGAAUUUCAGGUGUAGCGGUGAAAUGCGUAGAGAUCUGAAGGAAUACCGAUGGCGAAGGCAGCUUCCUGGCAUCAUACUGACACUGAGGCUCGAAAGCGUGGGUAGCAAACAGG
Molecule: ribosomal RNA, 750 nt
Filed under: uncultured bacterium
Lineage: Bacteria
Description: bacterial SSU rRNA
Rfam family: Bacterial small subunit ribosomal RNA
Source: RNAcentral